RNAcentral lists this ribosomal RNA (391 nucleotides) under Salmonella enterica subsp. enterica serovar Kentucky. RNAcentral's name for it is "partial 23S ribosomal RNA". It matches the Rfam family "Bacterial large subunit ribosomal RNA", at positions 1300 to 1693 of the family's 2925-position model. Lineage: Bacteria; Pseudomonadati; Pseudomonadota; Gammaproteobacteria; Enterobacterales; Enterobacteriaceae. The record is from RNAcentral.
ACAUAAGUAACGAUAAAGCGGGUGAAAAGCCCGCUCGCCGGAAGACCAAGGGUUCCUGUCCAACGUUAAUCGGGGCAGGGUGAGUCGACCCCUAAGGCGAGGCCGAAAGGCGUAGUCGAUGGGAAACAGGUUAAUAUUCCUGUACUUGGUGUUACUGCGAAGGGGGGACGGAGAAGGCUAUGUUGGCCGGGCGACGGUUGUCCCGGUUUAAGCGUGUAGGCUGGUUUUCCAGGCAAAUCCGGAAAAUCAAGGCUGAGGCGUGAUGACGAGGCACUACGGUGCUGAAGCAACAAAUGCCCUGCUUCCAGGAAAAGCCUCUAAGCAUCAGGUAACAUCAAAUCGUACCCCAAACCGACACAGGUGGUCAGGUAGAGAAUACCAAGGCGCUUGA